ACGGGUGCGUAACACGUAUGUAACCUACCUUAAUCUGGGGGAUAGCCUCUCGAAAGAGAGAUUAACACCGCAUAACAUUAUCGGAUAGCAUUUUCUGAUAAUCAAAUAUUUAUAGGAUUAAGAUGGGCAUGCGGAACAUUAGCUAGUUGGUAAGGUAAUGGCUUACCAAGGCUACGAUGUUUAGGGGAUCUGAGAGGAUGACCCCCCACACUGGUACUGAGACACGGACCAGACUCCUACGGGAGGCAGCAGUAAGGAAUAUUGGUCAAUGGGCGCAAGCCUGAACCAGCCAUGCCGCGUGCAGGAAGACGGCCCUACGGGUUGUAAACUGCUUUUGUACCGGAAUAAACCUUUUCACGUGUGAGAAGCUGAAUGUACGGUAAGAAUAAGGAUCGGCUAACUCCGUGCCAGCAGCCGCGGUAAUACGGAGGAUCCAAGCGUUAUCCGGAUUUAUUGGGUUUAAAGGGUGCGUAGGCGGUUCUUUAAGUCAGGGGUGAAAGACGGUAGCUUAACUAUCGCAGUGCCUUUGAUACUGAAGAACUUGAAUACACUUGAGGUAGGCGGAAUGUGACAAGUAGCGGUGAAAUG
This 588-nucleotide ribosomal RNA is filed under the name Mucilaginibacter sp. StRD315. Its description in RNAcentral is "bacterial SSU rRNA". It matches the Rfam family "Bacterial small subunit ribosomal RNA", at positions 102 to 688 of the family's 1533-position model. The record is from RNAcentral. Lineage: Bacteria; Pseudomonadati; Bacteroidota; Sphingobacteriia; Sphingobacteriales; Sphingobacteriaceae.